UUCCAGGGAGAUGGAUUGAGAGUAUAAAAUAAGGGACAGUGGCAUACCUCUCUCCUUCCCCACAUAUGUUGAAGGCAACAAAAAUGCUGAGAAGUCAAAGACUUUGAACUGAGGAGAUUGGUCCCAGACUGAGAAGGAAGUUCAGCUUGUGUAUUAAGAACUGUAACCUACCAGCAACAUCCAGUGAGGUUAAGAAAUGGAGGUUUGGAAGGGUGAAGUGAUUUACCUAACAGGCUUUGAGAACACAACAUGUCCCAUUGGAAGAAACCACAAUUUGGUGGUUUGUGUAGUAUGAUAAAUGUGAAGUAUACAAUACUGAAGAAAGUAUGUCCCCACCAACCUUGCUGACAUACACACACAGAGAAAGACAGCUAGAAGAAGGCAGGAAAGUGACAGGCAAAAGGGGGGCUCGGAUACACUCAGUGAAGCCCCUUCUGCUAUGGACAGUCCUGGACCCUCC
This is a long non-coding RNA of Mauremys reevesii (Reeves's turtle), 460 nucleotides long. RefSeq lists it as uncharacterized. The record is from RefSeq and is a predicted model, not a curated record. The transcript is spliced from 4 exons. Lineage: Eukaryota; Metazoa; Chordata; Testudines; Geoemydidae.